AAUAAGAAAAUAGUUUCCUUGAAUUUGUUUCCUUGGUUUGGAGUGGCAGUGGGUUGUCCAUUUACAAGAAGUGUAUACGUUCUCUGGCAAAAACAUGAAAGUGCAUGCUCGACGCAGGGGCAGGGAGCAAUUGGAACGAAAAGUGGGAAAUUUAAUUCUACAGUCACCAUUACUCCACUGUAUUUGCCAGGGCUGGAGGAGGAAGCAAACGGCAACAGAGUAUGCUCAGUGUCCUGGAUUGACUGUAUUUGAUUGAACCAAUUUUGAUAGAAUAAUUAACUGAUGGUACUCAGAAUCAGAGGCCAGCCACUGAUCAGCUCAUAAACCCUACUUGCUAUAUGGAUUGAAGCACGGGACGUAUGGUUAUCUCUCAGUCCUGGGCUUGUUUGAUGGUUUCUCAGGUGCUGGGAGCUGCCUGCUUUGUUACCAGUCAUAAGGUGACUGACCAUCCUGGUUUGUCAGAGUGGAGGGGUUUCCCAGGAUUCAGGCUUUCAGUUCUAAAACUGGGAUAGUACCCAGCAAUCGAGGAUGGGCUGCUCACUCUGUACCAGAUAAAAAGCUCGGGGAGCCAACCCAAAGCCUGGAUGACAUCUCCUCUCUUGGUUAAGUGGUCACACAGUCUGUUGUCAGGGCAGAAUGGUUGCUGUGUUCCCCUGGAGAGCUGCUGAACUCAGACUUCUUUUUGUGAAAUGAUUUGAGAGGCCUGGAAUGUGCAAUGCUCUGUAGAAAAGCAAAUGCCAUUCUUUUCUAAUUCAGAGCUGUGACCCAAGAAAGCACAGAGAUGAACAGUGGUUCCCUUGAAACUAAAGAGGAAUUGCCUAAGAGCUGACGCCCUGUGGUGGUAACCAAUGGUGCAGAGGCCCAGGUCAGCAGGGAGUAAUUGGGGAAGGGGGGGGCAACUGGGUGUUACAUAAGCUGUUACACAAGGACGUCCAUUCUCAGGAAACACUGGCAUCUGCAUGGUUUUUGUCGUCAAUUGCUAUUAAUUCCAGGUCACUAUAUUCUAAGACAUUUCUGACAGUACUUAAGGUCCAGAAACGCCAGCAUCCUACUCAGAGAUAAAGCAAACAGUCUGAGUGAAGAGCUACAGUCAGUCAAAGGAGAUUUUAUGGGCAUGUUGAUUUUAAGAGACAAGGAAGUGUGGGCUUUUUUCUUACUUCUUUCCUCUUUUAUGGUGGGGGGACGUGGUGUGGAUGAUGGGGUGGGGAGCAUGGGGGUGAAAAUAGCAACUGUAAAACCAGUGUUUGGGUUUACACAGGGUUCUUCUCAAAGCUGGGCCCGUCCCACAGAAUGGGCUUGAAAAUGACAUUGGAUUCUGGUUUUCUGAGUUCACUUACUUCAUAGUGUAGGAACCAGGAAACUGCUUAUGUGAAGUGACUGGAUGAAAGAAAACAGUAAUAAGAGCGAGCACGUGGAGUGCUUACUGUGUGCCAGGCACUGUUGCAAAGUGUUUUAGGUUGAUUACUUUAUGAAUCCUCAGUUUGAUUGUAUGAGGUAAGAACUAUUAUUAUCCUUAUUUAACAAAUGAUGAAGCUGAGGCACAGUCUGAGUAUGCAGUUUGUAAAGAUCGCAUGCCUGGAAGGGGAUCGAGCCCGGAUUCAAACACAGGCAGUGGAAUGUUCUGAACUACCAAUUUGCCUCCAUUCCACUUUCCCUUCAUUUGAAAACUACCUUGUCCUUGAGACGGUACAGAAAGGAAUAUAUGUCCCUUUAAAUACGACAUUGGCUCUGCACGUAUUUUAGUGAGAUGUUCCCCUGUUCCUCUUGUAACAUGCUCUCAUCAAGUCAUCCCCCCUCACAGUCUGUAGAAUUAAGCCUUUCUAAAGGUGAAGAGGACCUCACCAGAACCUCCCUCAUGAGGCAUUAGAAUGCUAGAAUUCCAGGAACAUGCAGAAUUUUCUAAUAUUCAAUCAAAAACAUUUCAAGAAUAAUGCUGGCUCAGAAGACAGCAAGAUGAGUAAGAUAAGGACGCCGAUCUCAAAGGCUUGCAGCCCACAGAGGGUUAUAGACUGUUAAAGAAUCACAAAGCAACGUGAUAGUUGCUAGAAUAGAGGUAAGUGCAAUAAGAUGGGAGAGGGGUUGAAAAAUUUACAAGAAUACCUGUACAUACUGAUACACAUUCACAUGAGCUCAUCUUCAUAAAAGUAAUUGGGUUGUCAGAAAAUCUAUCAUAUAGACUGAUGGUUGGGGUAGAAGAUUGGAGGGGAAGAAGUUGGGCAGAAGAUUUGGAGAAUGAAUAGAGGAAAGGUGGGAGAGUAUGGAAAGUGAAAUGGUUAAAGCCAUACCCAAGUCAUUUAUGUCUAUCUAAAGCAGCAGUGGGUUCCAUCAGAAUGCUCUGUUCCCCACUUCCCUGACCCGCUUGUCCUUGAUGAACCCUUCCCCAUCUCCAUGAACUCCUACCCUGAUGCAAGCGUGGCCUAGACCCAUCUCAAGAGAACUCCCUUCUCUUGGAGAGCCAGUUUAUAUCCUUUUUAAGAUGCAGAAGGGUGGAACAAGGUAACACCCCAGGUUGGUGCUUCAAAAUGUCAUUGAGCCUUUAGCCUUACCGGAGCAGCAGUUGUCUCCUAGGAAACCUGAUCUAGCCUUCUACUCUAUCUGAUCUCCUGUGAUCUCAAGGUUUUUUUCUGCCCUCACAUCCUGUUUUUAUGCUGACCAGCUCAUUCCUGGUUUUUCCCAGUCUGACUCUCCAGUUACUUUGAUCUCUCUUUUUCCUUCUGAAGUAGGUUCCAGAACGGUUCAGCCUUCAGCCUCUAGCUUACUAUAGGCUUACCUUAGCAUUUCCUCAUCUUUCUUCCCCAUCUCUGAGGGGUUUCCCCAUUUGAUAUUGAUGCUUUAGCUCCAGAUUGUCCCCAGUUGGGCAUUCUUAACCAUCAGUUCUGUUCCCCCAGGAAGCUCUUGCCAUGCUGCCUCAACACCAGCAUCCAUAACUACGUGCUUAAGGUGGAUAUGGACCUUCAUGUUCAAACUUCCUGGAAGAUACAGCCUCCUGGUUCUUCCAGAUCCUUCUAGUUUGGUCCCAAAUCUCUUAGGAUCUUUCUCUCCCAAGACCAUUCCAAUCAACUCGUGCUUUAAAUCCUUCCAGUUUCUCACUGUCUCUCCAUUAUUCUUGCUCUAAAGAAAAACUUGAGAUCAUUUGCAAAGCCAAUGCCUUCUGUGCCGUUAAACUUCCUUGACCAAUCAUCCUCAAACUACAGUAGAAAUACAGGAUUCCCAACAACUGCUUCCCUGGGUACCUCACCAGCUCCUAGCUUCCCCACCCACUGAUACUGUCCUCUUUUCAAAGGCAAGAAGAAACAGAGAGACACGGAUGCCUGGGAGAACAUCAUGAUGCUUUCAGUCAGUGGGCGAUAACCACAGGUGGAUCACAAAUGGCUUGACAGACAUAAAUUUUUUAUGGUGAUAAACUUGCAAAAUGUUUUCUACAACCAUUCAAAAUUUCAUAGUAGUUAAAAUUGUAUUUGAAAGCAAUGGCUCCCUCUAUAAACUCCCUGUGUUCAAUAACCAUUAUUUUCUGCCUAAGACUUUGGCAAGCAUCACAGCUAGAGAGCUCUGAGAGGCUGCUCCCCUGACGGCCCCAGCGAAUCUUCCUGGGCUGCUAUUGUUACUUUAGUCCAGGUUUGUUUGUCUUCAGUGAUUUUUUUUGGUUUGUGAUACUCUAAAAUAUUUUUUCUUUUGAUUUAAUCCACUCUAAUGUUCAUAUUUUUUACUGACAUCAAUGGAAUGUAUGAUUGCUAUCUAUGUUCAUAAUCAUCAUAAUCAGUAUUACUAACAUAAGCUAAUAUUAGGUAUUUCUAAAGAGCAUAAAACUGACUUUCCUAAUUUUCUGAAUUAUCCAAUUUAUCCCUUCCUUCCUUAAUUCCUUUCUUUGUUCUUUCUUUUUUCUAAUGCCUAUAGAUAUUAACUGCUAGUCUAUCUGAUUCUUGAUGGGUUUUAAUAAUGUACUAUUGUUUGUUUUUAUAAAUUAAAAAAUAUUUCUUUCAAAAAUAACAAUUGGACAUACUUGAAUUAAAUUGAUUCAUUGAAAGGGACUCUACGCCUUUACAGCUUCAGAAAGCCAAAUUUUCAAAAUAUUUUUGAAUGACAUGAAUGAAAAUAAUAUUUAUAUUUUGUCAGUUUUCCACAAUUUUAAUACUGAAUUAAAUAAAAUUUAACAUUUAAAUGCCUACUCUAUGCUUAUUUUUUGCUAUUUUUCCAAGUCUUAAAGUGCAGGUAACAUGCAUUUUCUAAAAAGCCAAUUUAUGAAGCCAUAAAGGCUUAUAAUUUUCUACAGUAUUUUUGUUUAACUAGAUUUCAUUUCUAAAAUUAUUUUAUUUUCCCACAGUAAUGUAUUUGCUGGAACAUCAUCAUAGUCACAAGAUAAAAUAGUCCACAAACAUUUGUCACUAAUUAGGCAAUAUAGUGAGUAUUAUCUCAAAUUUGCAUUUCUCUGCAUUAUUUUUCUUUUCCUCAGCUUAGAUAUCUUGUUUAUGUGGAAGCAUCAAAAUAAGAAAUUGUACCACACUGCAAACCAAGCUGGCUCCUUAACACAAAAUAUCCAUCUCAAAGGGAAAAAACGAUUUAAAUGUUUUAAAGUUUAGACAAGAGCAAUUUUAAAAGCUCCAAAAAACAAGAGUUUUUCUUUUUAUGUUUUUUGGGUUUUUUUCACCCUGGUCUAGAAGAUGACCACAUCAAAACAGUCUGGGAGAUUGGUGAGUCCACAGUCAUUAGUAACUGAACAUAGUUAAUAGCACCAGUUAGAAAGAAACUCUGCUGAGAAAUGCUUGGAACAACACCAUUUGUCCUGCAAAGAAGAACCAAACCAAGUUGUUGGGGUGAAACAUUCAAAGAAGUAGAUGAAUACUUGAAAUAGAUUUUGUAAAUACCACUUGAGUUCACGUCUGAUGGUGAGGCUGUAAUGGCAAGAAGGCUAUGUCAUCAAGUUCAUUCUGAAAAUCUUGAGAUUCAAGCAGUAUUUAUUCACAGAAAAUCUUUGUUAUAUAAACAUUGCCUGUGGGUCUGAAUUCCACAUAAAAGGUUGUCAUAAAAAAGGUGACCCCAAUAACAUCUAAACUUCCAUAUCUGCUUCUCUUUUUAGUUUUAGGUGAAGAAAUGGGUUCCGAAGAACUGUCUGUGCUGUUUCGCACUAAAGCAGACUGACUGUUCAAGGAGAGAUUUAUUGAGAGUUUAUGAGCUAAGAGAUGAAUUGAAAAAACUUGUGAAUUAUACUCACUUUGAAAAACUUCUUGAAAGUCCGAAUGUCUUCCAGUUUACCCCUAUGUGUUGUACAAGCAUCACCACAUUUUGUGUGGGUCAUGACCUGACCAAGUUUGUGAAGUCUUGAAAGUACAGCCCAGUGGUGGCCUUCAACUCACUUCUGACUCUCUCUGGGCUUUUGAGACUGUGAAGAAGAGGCAAUAGGCCACCGUGGACGAGCUGAUAGAUGAGGAACCAUCAGUGUGGACGUUCCUUAUCUCUUCAGGAAUCUGUGUUCAAAAGCAUUUCACUUCACAGCUGUUAUUGAAAGUCUCCGUGCAGGGCCACUGUGCAUAAAUGCUUACAUCCAAGAGGAACUCCACCAAGACAUCAGCUGCAAACUCGCCAUCAAACUCAAUUGUGCGGUCACCC
Equus caballus (horse) is the source of this 5604-nucleotide non-coding RNA. Lineage: Eukaryota; Metazoa; Chordata; Mammalia; Perissodactyla; Equidae. The record is from RefSeq and is a predicted model, not a curated record.